UUGUUUCAGAUUUUAACCACAAUAAUCUGUAGUAAUUAACUUUUGUCCUUCAAAUUCCUGUUUCAGAUUUUAACCACAAUAAUCUGUAGUAAUUAACUUUUGUCCUUCAAAUUUCUGUUUCAGAUUUUAACCACAAUAAUAAUUUGUAGUAAUUGACUUUUGCCUUCAAAUUUCAACAUAUGUCUUCCCCGAUUGUAUACUCCCACUGAUAACGCUUUUCAUAUGUUUCUCUAAAAUCUUUGAACUUCAUCCUUAUUCCUUUCCGACUGCCUUCCUUUGACAUUUACGACUUCUUUUCCUCCAGGAAUUUUGGGUUUGAAUUCCAUCUUUUAUGAGUCAUAAGAUAUUUCAAAUCCAUUGUGUAUAUCUGGUUCUUUAAAUGACUACUUAUUUCCUUUUUAUAUGUCUGUUAAUUUAUUAGUUCAAUUGACUUUUUGUUGUGAAGAAUACGAAGAUGCAGCGAAUUUAAUUCCACCGGAGAUGUCGUCGUCUACUGUUUGGAGUUUUAUUUUUGACAGUGGAACUUUGCAUGGGCGGUGGAUGUGCUGGAGAAUUUUAAUUCAUGUGAAGCAAAAUCGGGGAACCAACAUAAUGGUGACUGCGAUGGAGCAAUAGACAACCAUAGGACCAACAAUCAUAUCUAUGUAGAAUUUCCAACAACAAAAUUAAUUUACUGUCACUAAAUAAAGGCGUCCAACUCGCAUGGAAGAACAUACACAAAUUAUUGAAGAAUGAUGGUCCAUCGCCAUUUUCUUAAGGUUCGUUUGCAUAUCUAUUAUCUAAUUCUUAUUUUUCUGAUCCAAAUAUAUACACAUACAAAUGCUCUUUAACAGCGUAUUGAGGGCUAUUUUUGUCAUUUUGUAUAGGGUGAUCAGCUUGUGCUUAUUGAAAUGCUGUAGCGGGUUCUUUAACAGCAUAUCUAUUAUCUAAUUCUUAGUUUUCUGAUCCAAAUAUAUACACAUACAAUGUUCUUUGACAACAUAUUGAGGGUUAUUUUUGUCAUUUUGUAUAGGGUGAUGAGGUUGUGCUUAUUGAAAUGCUAUACCGGGUUGAGUCCAAUUUAAAUUCGACUUCAAGAUAGUUGUUAUUACACAUGGACGCCACGGAUGCUUCAAAUGACAAAAUGUUUCUUAGUUCUGCCACUCUAUCGAUCAUCAACUUUUCCCAAGUGUCGUUAUCUGUUCAACGACUUUAUUCCACAUUCAAAAAUCAUUAAAUAUUAUUUCAAAAUAUAUGUUACUCUCAAUUGAAAACUUUAGUACAUUUGGUCAACAUCUUUUUUAAUGGAUUCGUGAAGUAAAAGAUUAAUGACUAUUAUCACCCAGUGGAAUCUUGCUGUGACACCAUCAAAUAAUUUUCUUUGAAUUUGUCGAUCUAAUUUGUAAAUUCCUUGAAUUCAGUUAUGAACAAAAGUUUCAUUUUAGAGUUUAAAAAAAUAAAAGGAGUGAUUUCUUGAUAAAAAGGAACAACAAAAGAAGUGAUUUCUUGAUCAAAAGCUUUAGUUAUGAAUGAAACAUUACUAUAAUAUUUACUUAUGAACGAAAUUUUACUAUAAUAUUUACUUAUUUUGUCGUUUCAUAUUGAACUUAAUUAGGAUCUUUUUCGUUUGAUAGACUCGAAUGAGAAAGGAGUGAGUCGUUAAUAUGUUUAGUUAGAUUUCUGAAAAAAAAAUCUGAGUUAUAAUGCUGAAAUUUUUUUUACUGAUUUUUGGUCAUACAAGCUACUGUAUAUCCAUUUAACAGUGUUUAGGAACCAAAUGCCUACUGUUUUAUAAUUUUUAUUAUAUGUGACAUUACAUACUAUUUAUUGUGUUUAAUGUCAAGUUUUAUGUUUGGUUUUCUGAUUAUUCAGAUGCCGCAGAGAGUUAGGAAUGCUAGAUGGAGGAUGAGCAAAUCGGUGUUAUGGGAACUUAUCCCACAUGGACAAAAAGUGAGACUUGUGGUGCUCUUAUUGUUUUUUCUAUAAUGAAAUUGGUUGGGAAACUCCAAGAUGGAACUCCGUUUGUGAAUAAAGGACACAGUAAGACACCACUUCAGUUCAAUAUAGAUGAAGGUGAGUAUCAUUUUGGUGUUUAAAAAGAAAAAUGAAAAACACGAGCUAACAAUGACAUGGUGUUGUUUUUCUUUAAUGAUACAACAAGUUAUUGUUGGACUUGAUAGAAGUCUGAAGAAAGGUGAAGUUGCAGUGUUAACUAUUCAUCCAGAGUAUGCAUUUGGUUUAACUGAAUCACAUCAAGAAUCAUCAAUUGUUCCAGCAAUACCAACAUGUAUUAUGAUGUUGACUUGAUUUCAUUUGGAAAUGUAUGAAAAUUGAAAUUUUUUGAUCUCUU
Lactuca sativa (garden lettuce) is the source of this 2329-nucleotide non-coding RNA. Lineage: Eukaryota; Viridiplantae; Streptophyta; Magnoliopsida; Asterales; Asteraceae. The record is from RefSeq and is a predicted model, not a curated record.